This 1292-nucleotide ribosomal RNA is filed under the name Notochthamalus scabrosus. RNAcentral's name for it is "SSU rRNA". It matches the Rfam family "Eukaryotic small subunit ribosomal RNA", at positions 450 to 1715 of the family's 1831-position model. The record is from RNAcentral. Lineage: Eukaryota; Metazoa; Arthropoda; Thecostraca; Balanomorpha; Chthamalidae.
CCCAGUUCAGGGAGGUAGUGACAAUAAAUACCUUACAGAGGUCUCGUUAACCGAGAUCUCUCAAACGGAAUGAGUACAACGUGAAUCCUUUAACGAGGAUCGACUGGAGGGCAAGCCUGGUGCCAGCAGCCGCGGUAAUUCCAGCUCCAGUAGCGUAUAUUAAAGCUGUUGCGGUUAAAAAGCUCGUAGUUGGAUAUCAGUGCGUGUCCGGUCCGGUAUGCCCGGCGCUGUCGCUCACGCGGCAAUGCUGGGCUCCCAAAUAUCGGCUGGCCGCAUUCAAUCGUGCCGGAUCCGUCGACGGGCCGUUCUUCGGAGGGGCCUGUUGGCGACCGGCGACGUUACCUUGAACAAAUUAGAGUGCUCAAAGCAGGCUCUGAAUGCCUGUAUACAUAUUCAUGGAAUUGGAGAAUACGUCCCUGGCUCGAUUUGGUUGGUUUUGAGAGUCGAAGGGAAAUGAUUAAUAGGGACUGACGGAGGCAUUCGUAUUGCGACGCGAGGGGUGAAAUCCUGUGACCGUCGCACGACGAACUACUGCGAAAGCAUUUGCCGAGAAUGUUUUCAUUAGUCAAGAACGAAAGUUAGAGGUUCGAAGGCGAUCAGAUACCGCCCUAGUUCUAACCGUAAACGAUGUCGACCAGCAAUCCGCAACGGUCACUACACGGACUGUGCGGGCAGCUUCCCCGGGGAAACCAGAGUGUAUGGACUCCGGGGGAAGUAUGGUUGCAAAGCUGAAACUUAAAGGAAUUGACGGAAGGGCACCACCAGGAGUGGAGCUUGCGGCUUAAUUUGACUCAACACGGGACAACUCACCAGGCCCGGACACCGUAAGGAUUGACAGACUGAUAGCUCUCUCUUGAUUCAGUGGGUGGUGGUGCAUGGCCGUUCUUAGUUGGUGGAGUGAUUUGUCUGGUUUAUUCCGAUAACGAACGAGACUCUGGCCUAUUAAACUUGACGCUGUCAGUCUCUUGUGACUGCGGCGCGCUUCUUAGAGGGAUCAUCGGCGUCCCAGCCGAAGGAAAGGGAGCAAUAACAGGUCUGUGAUGCCCUUAGAUGUUCUGGGCUGCACGCGUGUUACACUGAAGUGGUCAGCGCGCCGUUCAACGUCCCUCUCCGUGAGGAGCGGGCAAACGUUUGAACCCUUUUCGUGAUGGGAAUUGGGGGUUGCAAUUGUCCCCCAUGAACGAGGAAUUCCAAGUAAGCGCAGGUCACUAGCCUGCGUUGAUUAAGUCCCUGCCCUUUGUACACACCGCCCGUCGCUACUACCGAUGGAUGAUUUGGUGAGAUAGCCUAGA